Molecule: long non-coding RNA, 3072 nt
Organism: Patella vulgata (common limpet)
Lineage: Eukaryota; Metazoa; Mollusca; Gastropoda; Patellidae
Exons: 3
Source: RefSeq, a predicted model, not a curated record
GGUGAAGGUCUUUUAAACAACAUGGACGACGGCUAAGGUCAUGCUUUCGGCAAAGUGCUGAUUAAACUUGUAGUGUAAAAAAAAUAUCAGAAACAGAAAAAAUGAAUAGUUCAUCAGUUUCGAAAGUUGGUAGUUUGGUUUUUAAUCGGCGGUUCUCUAAAACAGGAUUACCCCUCCUUAGACUUGCCCAGGAGGAUGAGGUAUCGCAAGUUCCAAGAGAAUCGGGAACGUGGAUAGCAAAGUCGGCCAUUUUAUUGACCUUGCUUGGGACAAGUUUAUCCAUAUUCAGUGCCCGUCAGCUCCAUGAUGACUGUUCAUCGAAAUCAUUCAGAAAAAAAUAAAACCAUAUGGCUAGUUGAUCAAACAUGUCUGUGAUUAAAAUAAACUUGAAACAAGACUUUCAUGAUUAAACCGUUGAGAAAUACAAUAUAGAGGAACAGAAUGGAAUUCAAUCAUCAAGUUGAAUUGCUGUUUAAUAAAUGUAAAACUAUUAACAAUGAAUUAAUUUAUUAAACAAACAAAAACUGUUUACGAGUGUAAUGUAGAAGAAACUUAUCAACAAUGAAUUCAUUUAUAACAAAAACUAUUUAUGAGCGUAAUGUAGAAGAAACUAUCAACCAUGAAUUAAUUUAUUAAACAAGCAAAAACUGUUUUAAGAGCGGAAUGUAGAAAAACAGACUCAAAGUGCCAUUCAGAGAUUGGGGGGGUUGAAAUCGACUAUAUCAUAAUAUUAAUGUGUUAUUCAGAGAUGGGAGGGUUAAAAUCGACUAUAUCAAAGUGCCAUUCAGAGAUGGGGGGGGGGUAAAAUCGAUUAUAUCAAAGGAGCCGUCCCUUUAUUUGGUAUGACAGACUAUUUGUAAAUUGUGCUAUUUACCAAUAAUAUGCUAUAUAUAACAAUGAAUUAAUUCAUUAACAAACAAAAACCGUUUGAAGUGUAAUGUAGAAGGCUGUGCUAAAACAUAUUCAAGGUGCCAUUCAUAGAAGGGGGUUCAAAUUGACUUUAUUCUAGUAAUGAAGGGGUCGUCCCUGGUGUUUUCAAUCAAAUGGGUUAAUUCAUUGUGGAAAACUACAUGUAGUUAAAAAUGUUCAUCUUAGUCCUGUACAAAUAUCCAAAGCUCUGUGGUACACUUUCUCAGAAAUACUAACUUUGUUACGGUAUCACAAGUACAUUUAGUUGGCCAUAAGUCUCCAAAUUCAACACUACCUUGUAAGUGCCUAAAUGAUCCUAUCUACAAUCUAAGCUAUAGUUAAUUAAGCCCAUUAUGCAAAUCCACCGAAAACUUCUGAUUGAUCUGGGCUGAAUUUAGGCAAGCUAUUUGGGCAAAUUCUUCAUAUUUUAGAAUUCAAAAAAGGUUCAUCAAAAGAUUUUAGCGCAGAUUACAGUUGAUGCUGGCUUCUUAACUGGUGUAUUAUACCUGCACAGUCUGCACAGUACAUGGAAUUAAUCUACAGAAUUUGCUGAGGAUUAUCAACAAUUUUAACCAACCAUUUUCUUCAAGAUUUGACUCCUGGCCAUGUUUAUUUUUUGUACCUUGAGUAUUUAAUGUAACAAUUUAAAAGUUUUUGAGAUGUGGUAGUAAGAGGUUUGGGCGUUUUUUAUAGGUCUGCUUAUAAUCGGUCUAAAACAUUAUCCCAAUUCUCAUAAAAAUCUGUUGGGUGGAUGGCCGAAUGGUUAGCAUGUGCGUGCUGUAUCAAACGGUCUGUCAUUGAGUUUUUGAUUCCUCAGUUGUACAUGACACAGAGUAGGGUCGCCUGCCCAACCUCGUGGGUUUUCUCCAGGUCCUCUGGUUUCCUUCCACUGCUAAAGACCCCUACGCACAAGCGAAUUAUUGAAAUAAAAUUGUACCAUGUGUUAGUCCCGAAAUGACCUAGUUUGUGUCGAGUGGACUUUAAACCCCAUUUCUCUGUCUCUUUCACAAAAAUCCACUAGGAUUUUAUCAGACAGAAAUCCACUGAAUUCAAAGAUUUAUAGAAAACAGGACCCACAUCCAGAAGUUUUUCUUGAAUUUUAAUUUCAAUUCUCUUUAAAGAUUUUGGGGUUUAAUGUUGAGUUAGCGCUUGUGCACUGAAUAAUUAGGUCUGUCAUUGAGUCAACUGGCGGGUUUCAUUUCCUUGGUUGUACGUGACAAGGAGUAGGGUAGUCUGUCCAUCCUCGUGGGUUUUCUCUGGGUCCUCCGGUUUUCUCCCACUGUUAACCAUGGUUAUUGAUAUUUCAAUUACUUUCGAACAUCAAUAUAAUACCAUAGAUACUAACUGUAAACAAUGUAGAUAUUUGUUAUUUAGUCCCGGUUCAAAAAUACCAAUCGUGACACGUUGAAUUUGUAUAUCAAUAUCUUAAUACCAGAAUUAUUGUGCAUUAUAUUAAUGUAAAACAGAGACUCAACGAUUUAAAUAUUUCAUAAAUAAUUAAAUAUGCUUCUCAGUAUUUUAAAAUAAGAAUGACGCUAACAAGAUAGUUUAAAGAUACAUUAUGUAAGAUUUAGAUAAAGAGCUGGCCAAUCUUGCUAUAAUAGUUCAAAAAUAGAUAAAUCAAAAUGAAUAUAUUGAAAAUUUCAUUCAAAUUACUUUAUUCUGAGCCAAGUUGUCACUGUUUGUAGUUUUGACAAGAUUAUGUAUUAUAGUAACCACGGUACUGUUAUAUUCGAAGAUAACCUCGUUUCCCCAUUUUUAAAUUAAAUAACUAAAUGGCCGAACCGUUUAAUCCUGUUAAAAUCUCAAGUAUCCAAUGGCAACAAGCAUUGAUUAUGGUCUUCUCAUGUUAAUAAAUGUCUAAUUAAUAGUUUAUAUAACAUUUCUGGCCUAAAGAAAGACCAAUAGGUAGAUUUAUCUCUUACAUCAUGCAUCUUUAAAUCUUUAUUUUGUAGAACUGUAUUACCACUAUCAUAUUUUCCCUUUCAUUUGUAUAUUGGUCAUAUUAUUGUUGUUUUCCUUCGUAUAUUAAAGUUAAAUGUUUUGGUUGUAAUACUAGUUGUUUUAAAUAGAUAAGUGAAUUCCAACUGUUAGCGACCCAUCGUAGAAUUUAAAUGUUGAAAGUAUUUAUUAACUGUUUAAUAAAUUAUUUUUGAGCUUUAA